GCUGGGCACAGUAGUGCAUGCCUGUAAUCCCAGUGGCUUGGGAGGCUGAGACAGGAGGAUCAAGAGUUCAAAGCCAGCCUCAGCACCAAAGAGGCACUAAGCAACUCAGUGAGACCCUGUCUCUA
Molecule: small RNA, 125 nt
Filed under: Marmota monax (woodchuck)
Lineage: Eukaryota; Metazoa; Chordata; Mammalia; Rodentia; Sciuridae
Source: RNAcentral